RNAcentral lists this transfer RNA (87 nucleotides) under bacterium. RNAcentral's name for it is "tRNA-Ser". It matches the Rfam family "tRNA". Rfam says of the family: Transfer RNA (tRNA) molecules are approximately 80 nucleotides in length. The record is from RNAcentral.
GCCGGGGUGCCCGAGCCAGGGUAAGGGGUCGGACUUGAGAUCCGAUGGGCCGCGAGGCCCGCCCGGGUUCAAAUCCCGGCCCCGGCG